This is a long non-coding RNA of Nilaparvata lugens (brown planthopper), 817 nucleotides long. RefSeq lists it as uncharacterized. The transcript has 3 exons. The record is from RefSeq and is a predicted model, not a curated record. NCBI's taxonomy places the organism in Eukaryota, Metazoa, Arthropoda, Insecta, Hemiptera, Delphacidae.
GGAUCUCUUGGCUGCUACGCAAACACUCUAUCCACUAGACCACGGAUCACCUAUCUAUUAUGGAUGAUGGAAUAAUGGAUUAUAAUGUGAAGUUUUGAAAAGCGACCACUCACGUCCAAUGCGCAUGCAACUGCGUGAACCGUGACACACCGGUCUGCGCGGCCAGGUUGCAGAUGUGCACACUGGUUGCACCACUAGUUGCGCCGGCGGGUUGCAACCGAUGCAACCUGGCCAUGGCGACGCCACCCGGGUAGUUGACGUGGGCGAUGCUCAGCAGAAACAGGGAGAACAGGCAGUUGGCUGCUAUGUGGCCGGCUGCUCCAACCGCUAGCAGUUUUCUGGAAGAAGGAUUUGGAGCGGUUCGACCAUCUGUAACCGACAAACAGCAAAUGAAACAUGACGGUGCACCAGCUCAUUUCCACGGAGAAGUUUGGGAUUUUCUAGACAAUCGCUUUCAACUUCGCUGGAUUGGCCGUGCAGGGCCAAUUGCAUGGCCACCUCGCUCACCGGAUUUAACAUCGAUGCAUUUCUUCCUGUGGGGUUUCAUCAAAGGUUUAUAAUCCACCUCCACCAGACAAUCUUAAUGACCUCCGAAAUCGCAUCAUAUUGGGAUCGCUUCGAAUGCACAAGUUACGCCUGAUAUGCUGCUACGAAUGUGGCAAGAAAUCGUUUAUCGGUGUUUGUGACAUGCGCACGCAGCCGCAAUGUUGAGCAGCGGAAACACGUAGACAAUGAAGCGCAGCUCCUUGUGCGGCAGGAACGAGAAGGCGGCAACAAACGCCAGGGGCGGCAGAAGGAGGCGGCACGCCCGCACGUC